UUUUUGUUAAUGUUCUAACAUUUACUUUUUAGAUUUUGCGAUACUACUCAGAUUGAGAGAGCGGAAUGCUGCUUAGCUAAACAAGCUGCACACGGUGAACCUAGUUCUACUGAAGUUGAAGGAACACUGGAGCCAACCCUAGAACCAUCACGAAAGUCAUGUCGGCUGUCAUCUGAAACUUCUCUGUCACAGCUACGGCGCAACCCACAUGUCCUGCCAGUCAGAUGUGUCAUCUGUAAAAAGGAAAAAUGGAUAGCCAACAGCCACACGUGUAAACGUUCAAGGGAAAGCCUAUCAAACUGCGAGUACAAGUCAAGGGGUUUGUUGCUCAAAGCUGCAGAGAUCCUAAAUGAUGAACAAAUUUUGGUGGACAUCAAAGGAAAAGACAUGGUUGUGAUCGAGGUCAGGUACCAUCGCAGCUGUUACAAGGACUACAUGUACAUCAAGUUCAGAUUAUGUCAACAAGUUCAAGUCUGCCGCUUGACCCUGACAGUGAAAAUGCCAUCCAGCAUACAUUCAGUGCUUUCUGCAAAAAGCA
This is a long non-coding RNA of Acanthaster planci (crown-of-thorns starfish), 538 nucleotides long. RefSeq lists it as uncharacterized. NCBI's taxonomy places the organism in Eukaryota, Metazoa, Echinodermata, Asteroidea, Valvatida, Acanthasteridae. The record is from RefSeq and is a predicted model, not a curated record.